UUCCGUAGGUGAACCUGCGGAAGGAUCAUUAUUGAACUAAGUCGGAUUCGAUGCUGGCCCUUAACCCGGGCAUGUGCUCGUCCUUCAUUUUUCUAACCUUCUUUAUGUGCACAUUUGUAUGCCCCUGAGUAACGAGCGCCUCUCGCAGCAAUGCGGUUUGCUUGGGACUGACGGCCUGGUCGUCUUUCCUGCAAUGCUCUCUGGGGGCUACGUUUUUAUAUACAAGUCAGUUAUAGAAUGUCUUUUAAUGACUGUUGCCUAGCGCAUGGUCUUAAACAAUUACAACUUUCAGCAACGGAUCUCUUGGCUCUCCCAUCGAUGAAGAACGCAGCGAAAUGCGAUAAGUAAUGUGAAUUGCAGAAUUCAGUGAAUCAUCGAAUCUUUGAACGCACCUUGCGCCCUUUGGUAUUCCGAAGGGCAUGCCUGUUUGAGUGUCAUUAAAUUAUCAACCUUGCUCGCUUUUACCGGCUUGAGCUGAGGCUUGGACGUGGGGGUUUUUGCUGGCUUCCUUCAGUGGAUGGUCUGCUCCCCUUAAAUUCAUUAGCGGGAUCUCUUGUGGACCGUCACUUGGUGUGAUAAUUAUCUAUGCCGUUUGACCUUGAAGCAAAUUUAUGGGACCCUGCUUAUAACCGUCUCUUACCGGGACAAUUUAAUAACAUCUUGACCUCAAAUCAGGUAGGACUACCCGCUGAACUUAAGCAUAUCAAUAAGCGGAGGAAAAGAAACUAACAAGGAUUCCCCUAGUAACUGCGAGUGAAGCGGGAAAAGCUCAAAUUUAAAAUCUGGCGGUCCUUGUGGCCGUCCGAGUUGUAAUUUAGAGAA
Molecule: unclassified non-coding RNA, 822 nt
Filed under: uncultured Mycena
Lineage: Eukaryota; Fungi; Basidiomycota; Agaricomycetes; Agaricales; Tricholomataceae
Description: sequence contains ITS1, 5.8S rRNA gene and ITS2
Rfam family: 5.8S ribosomal RNA (bases 284-437)
Source: RNAcentral